GAUGAACGCUAGCGGCAGGCUUAACACAUGCAAGUCGAGGGGUAUAGUUCUUCGGAAUUAGAGACCGGCGCACGGGUGCGUAACGCGUGUGCAAUCUACCUUUCACAAAGGAAUAGCCCAGAGAAAUUUGGAUUAAUGCCUUAUAGUAUAUCGAGUUGGCAUCAACAUGAUAUUAAAGAUUUAUCGGUGAAAGAUGAGCAUGCGUCCCAUUAGCUAGUUGGUAUGGUAACGGCAUACCAAGGCAACGAUGGGUAGGGGUCCUGAGAGGGAGAUCCCCCACACUGGUACUGAGACACGGACCAGACUCCUACGGGAGGCAGCAGUGAGGAAUAUUGGACAAUGGGCGCAAGCCUGAUCCAGCCAUGCCGCGUGCAGGAUGACGGUCCUAUGGAUUGUAAACUGCUUUUAUACGAGAAGAAACACUGCUACGUGUAGCAGCUUGACGGUAUCGUAAGAAUAAGGAUCGGCUAACUCCGUGCCAGCAGCCGCGGUAAUACGGAGGAUCCAAGCGUUAUCCGGAAUCAUUGGGUUUAAAGGGUCCGUAGGCGGUCAGAUAAGUCAGUGGUGAAAGCCCAUCGCUCAACGGUGGAACGGCCAUUGAUACUGUCUGACUUGAAUUAUUAGGAAGUAACUAGAAUAUGUAGUGUAGCGGUGAAAUGCUUAGAGAUUACAUGGAAUACCAAUUGCGAAGGCAGGUUACUACUAAUAUAUUGACGCUGAUGGACGAAAGCGUGGGUAGCGAACAGGAUUAGAUACCCUGGUAGUCCACGCCGUAAACGAUGGAUACUAGCUGUUGGGAGCAAUCUCAGUGGCUAAGCGAAAGUGAUAAGUAUCCCACCUGGGGAGUACGUUCGCAAGAAUG
This 862-nucleotide ribosomal RNA is filed under the name uncultured bacterium. Its description in RNAcentral is "bacterial SSU rRNA". It matches the Rfam family "Bacterial small subunit ribosomal RNA", at positions 28 to 896 of the family's 1533-position model. The record is from RNAcentral.